UUUAAAGUUUUAUUUUUAAAUUUUGAAUUUUGAAUUUUGAAUUUUAAAUUUUAGAACUUUAAUUAUUAUAAAUCCUGUGGAAUUGUACCAUAUGUAUCCAAACAGCUUUAAAAUGAAGCUGUAGAACUUUUUUGUAGUUAUAGAUUCCGUAUUUUAUUUAGACCGAAAUAAAAAGUCCUUAGAGUUUUAAACCAUGCAUCCAAACAGGACCCAAGGUUGGUGCUUCUAGGUAUAUAUAUAUAUAGAGAGAGAGAGAGAAAGCUAGGCUGGUAUACUAUCGGUAGCACGGAGGCUUCCGUGCUACCAAGUUGUUUUCGAUGAUGCGUCUUCCAAAUCGACCAUCGGCUCCGUUAGACUUGAUCUACACUAUUAAAAAUAUUUGGAAACUAAAUUUUAUAAUUUUUCGGCAUCAUUUAUCUAUCAAACGAGUAGUAUAAAAAUGAAUGGCUAAAAAUAAAAUCUCAUAAAAAUAAUGAUAAAAGACUUGAAUUUAAAAUAAGAGGUACCAAUUUUACUCUAAAAUAAGUGAAAAAAAAUUUCUAUAAAAAUUUUAUCAAAUUUAGAUUGUUUUACGCUGUUAAAUUCACAAAUGCAUCACAUCUACCAUUAAAAUUAUCAAGUUUGAGACCUUUGAUCACUAGCCAAAAUGAUGUCGAAAAAUUAUAAAAUUUAGUUUCCAAAUACUUUCAAUAGUGUAGAUCAAGUCUAACGGAGCCGAUCGUCGAUUUGGAAGCCGCAUCAUUAAAAACAACUUGAUAGCACGAAAAUCUCCGUGCUACGAUAGUAUACUAGCCUAACUCUCUCUCUAUAUAUAUAUAUAUCUCUCUCUCUCU
Molecule: long non-coding RNA, 833 nt
Filed under: Ananas comosus (pineapple)
Lineage: Eukaryota; Viridiplantae; Streptophyta; Magnoliopsida; Poales; Bromeliaceae
Description: long non-coding RNA (ACOM_LNC013376)
Source: RNAcentral